UUAAAUUGAAGAGUUUGAUCAUGGCUCAGAUUGAACGCUGGCGGCAGGCCUAACACAUGCAAGUCGAGCGGAAACGAAUUAUC
RNAcentral lists this ribosomal RNA (83 nucleotides) under Vibrio parahaemolyticus. Its description in RNAcentral is "partial 16S ribosomal RNA". It matches the Rfam family "Bacterial small subunit ribosomal RNA", at positions 1 to 84 of the family's 1533-position model. The record is from RNAcentral. Lineage: Bacteria; Pseudomonadati; Pseudomonadota; Gammaproteobacteria; Vibrionales; Vibrionaceae.